This 655-nucleotide ribosomal RNA is filed under the name uncultured Bacteroides sp. RNAcentral's name for it is "bacterial SSU rRNA". It matches the Rfam family "Bacterial small subunit ribosomal RNA", at positions 64 to 715 of the family's 1533-position model. Lineage: Bacteria; Pseudomonadati; Bacteroidota; Bacteroidia; Bacteroidales; Bacteroidaceae. The record is from RNAcentral.
CAGCAUCAUCAAAGCUUGCUUUGAUGGAUGGCGACCGGCGCACGGGUGAGUAACACGUAUCCCACUUGCCGACAACACUGGGAUAGCCUUUCGAAAGAAAGAUUAAUACCGGAUGGCAUAGUCUUCCCGCAUGGGAUUAUUAUUAAAGAAUUUCGGUUGUCGAUGGGGAUGCGUUCCAUUAGGCAGUUGGCGGGGUAACGGCCCACCAAACCAACGAUGGAUAGGGGUUCUGAGAGGAAGGUCCCCCACAUUGGAACUGAGACACGGUCCAAACUCCUACGGGAGGCAGCAGUGAGGAAUAUUGGUCAAUGGACGAGAGUCUGAACCAGCCAAGUAGCGUGAAGGAUGACUGCCCUAUGGGUUGUAAACUUCUUUUAUACGGGAAUAAAGUGAGCCACGUGUGGCUUUUUGUAUGUACCGUAUGAAUAAGGAUCGGCUAACUCCGUGCCAGCAGCCGCGGUAAUACGGAGGAUCCGAGCGUUAUCCGGAUUUAUUGGGUUUAAAGGGAGCGUAGGCGGGUUGUUAAGUCAGUUGUGAAAGUUUGCGGCUCAACCGUAAAAUUGCAGUUGAUACUGGCGACCUUGAGUGCAACAGAGGUAGGCGGAAUUCGUGGUGUAGCGGUGAAAUGCUUAGAUAUCACGAAGAACUCCGAUUG